Long non-coding RNA from Gopherus agassizii (Agassiz's desert tortoise), 458 nucleotides. The record is from Ensembl. Lineage: Eukaryota; Metazoa; Chordata; Testudines; Testudinidae.
AAACUAUUUGUUGUUUGUUGUCUUUUACAGAAGCUGGGCUCAGCAAUGAAAACAUUGACAAGAGGAGCAGCUGUCUUGGAGAAACAGUGAUAAGCAACUGUAUAAAUAGCUUACUGAUGUGACAUUUUAAAAUUCUGCUUCUAAAAUUCAUGCUGUCUUGUUAAUGAGCUGAAAGACCAAUGGAGAAACUAGUGAGGAAGGGGAAGAUAAUGGAAUAGGGAGUGUGAUGAGAGUUUCAUUGGAAGAAGAGGAGAGAACCACAUACCAGGAAGGAAAGCAAUAGAAGAGGGUCGCAUUCAUCCCGUGACGCAUUCUUCAUCUAAAAAAUAUGUUCCCUUUUUUUCUGACUUAAUCCCUCGAGCAGACCACCAGCCUGGGCCCUCAGCCCCACUAAUGAAAUAUAUCCAUAAACGAGGAAGACACAUGAUCUCUGUGCAGAGCUUGACCUGACAUUACAG